Molecule: microRNA precursor, 73 nt
Filed under: Tetraodon nigroviridis (spotted green pufferfish)
Lineage: Eukaryota; Metazoa; Chordata; Actinopteri; Tetraodontiformes; Tetraodontidae
Description: microRNA tni-mir-184 precursor
Gene: tni-mir-184
Rfam family: mir-184 microRNA precursor family
Source: miRBase by way of RNAcentral
CGCUCACAUCUCCUUAUCACUUUUCCAGCCCAGCUAUAGCUUCUGAAUCCGUUGGACGGAGAACUGAUAAGGG